This 253-nucleotide ribosomal RNA is filed under the name uncultured bacterium. Its description in RNAcentral is "partial 16S ribosomal RNA". It matches the Rfam family "Bacterial small subunit ribosomal RNA", at positions 524 to 776 of the family's 1533-position model. The record is from RNAcentral.
UACGUAGGGUGCGAGCGUUGUCCGGAAUUAUUGGGCGUAAAGGGCUCGUAGGCGGUUUGUCGCGUCGGGAGUGAAAUCCACUGGCUUAACUGGUGGCUUGCUUUCGAUACGGGCAGACUGGAGGUAUGCAGGGGAGAACGGAAUUCCUGGUGUAGCGGUGAAAUGCGCAGAUAUCAGGAGGAACACCGGUGGUGCAGACGGCUCUCUGGACCGCGACUGACGCUGAAACACGAAAGCGUGGGUAGCAAACAGG